RNAcentral lists this ribosomal RNA (245 nucleotides) under uncultured bacterium. Its description in RNAcentral is "partial small subunit ribosomal RNA". It matches the Rfam family "Bacterial small subunit ribosomal RNA", at positions 27 to 285 of the family's 1533-position model. The record is from RNAcentral.
GGAAUCAACGCUGGCGGCGUGCCUAACACAUGCAAGUCGCACGAGAAAGUGGAGCAAUCCAUGAGUACAGUGGCGCACGGGUGAGUAACACGUGACUUAUCUGCCUCCGAGUGGGGAAUAACCUAGAGAAAUCUGGGCUAAUACCGCAUAACACUUACGAGUCAAAGCAGCAAUGCGCUUGGAGAGGAGGUCGCGGCAGAUUAGUUAGUUGGCGGGGUAAUGGCCCACCAAGACGAUGAUCUGUA